AAAAUAAAACCAAUUUUAAGCUUUACUAUCACAACUAAAAUGAUCUCAACCAAAAUCAACAUCCUCACAAACAAAAUAAAAUUUCAUCUUUUAAAUAAACCAACUCUAGUUUCAAAUUUUAGCUUCCAAUCUAAUAAUAUAAUGUUCGAAAAACAGCAACCAUGAAGAUAAUGAGAAGAUACAUGCCUUUUUAGAUAUCGGUGAAGACAUAUACGAUGGUGUGCGGUGGAAGUUGGGACGGUGAUGCCUUUCGUUUCUUCUUCUUCUCUUUCUUUUUAUGUGUUUUUUAUCAGUAUUAAUCUCAGAUCCCUCCCCCUUUUUGAAAUUUGAUAGGGCGUAUAUAUAGAGUUUUUUUUAUCUGUUUAAUUGUUUUCUUGCUUGCCUUGGUCCUUCUCCAUCAAUGUCCUGUUUGAUGUUUCGUUUUCGUUGCUCAUCAUCUGCAUUUUUCUGCACCUUUGACGCCUUCGUAAAUUUAGAUUAUUUGUUCUGAUUUGUUCAUUGCUGAGCUUUUAUUUGUCUUUUAGUUUCUUUUUUUUUAAACUCUAAAAUUUGUCUCUUUGUUCUGCACAAUGUGUACCAAAACUGACUUAAAAAUUAUGUUUUUAUGUUUCUCAAAUUAGUUAAAACAGGAACAGAUGUAUCAAUAAGCAUGGCUUGUGCAUCAAUGGUCGUCAUCAUCAACAUAGCAGGGUUUGGCAGUGAACAAAGUCAACAUAGCAUGGCUUGAUCUGAUUUAAUUUUUACUGUAAUUUAAUUUGGCUUUAUUUUUAAAUUGUAAUUUGAUUUGAUUUUAGAAUUGUAAAUAGAUUUGAAAUUGUAAAUUUAUGAGACAUAAUAAAAAUAUUUAUUGUAAUUAUUUUUAUUUCCUUUU
This 871-nucleotide long non-coding RNA is filed under the name Cicer arietinum (chickpea). RNAcentral describes it as "long non-coding RNA (CARI_LNC002041)". Lineage: Eukaryota; Viridiplantae; Streptophyta; Magnoliopsida; Fabales; Fabaceae. The record is from RNAcentral.